AACGAACGCUGGCGGCAUGCCUAACACAUGCAAGUCGAACGAAACCUUCGGGUCUAGUGUCGCACGGGUUCGUAACGCGUGGGAAUCUGCACUCGGGUUCGGAAUAACAGUGAGAAAUUACUGCCAAUACCGGACGAUGUCUUCGGACCAAAGAUUUAUCGCACAGGGAUGUUCCCGAGUAGGAUUAGCUAGUUGGUGGGGUAAUGGCCUACCAAGGCGAGGAUCCUUAGCUGGUAUGAGAGGAUGAUCAGCCACACCGGGACUAGGAAGCGGCCGGGAAUCUUCCGGGAGGGAGGAGAGGGGAACAUUGCAACGUGGGGUGAGGCAUGAUGGUGCUAUGCCCGGUGAGCGCUGAUGGCAUUAGAGUAGUAAAGCGCUUGUACCCGGGCUGAUAAUGACGGUACCGGGAGAAUAAGCCACGGCUAACUCCGUG
RNAcentral lists this ribosomal RNA (433 nucleotides) under uncultured bacterium. RNAcentral's name for it is "partial 16S ribosomal RNA". It matches the Rfam family "Bacterial small subunit ribosomal RNA", at positions 29 to 507 of the family's 1533-position model. The record is from RNAcentral.